This 1347-nucleotide ribosomal RNA is filed under the name metagenome. RNAcentral describes it as "bacterial SSU rRNA". It matches the Rfam family "Bacterial small subunit ribosomal RNA", at positions 104 to 1446 of the family's 1533-position model. The record is from RNAcentral.
GGGUGAGUAAUGCAUCGGAACGUGCCAUUGAGUGGGGGAUAACGUAGCGAAAGUUGCGCUAAUACCGCAUAUUCUGUGAGCAGGAAAGCAGGGGACCGCAAGGCCUUGCGCUCUUUGAGCGGCCGAUGUCAGAUUAGCUAGUUGGUGAGGUAAAGGCUUACCAAGGCGACGAUCUGUAGCGGGUCUGAGAGGAUGAUCCGCCACACUGGAACUGAGACACGGUCCAGACUCCUACGGGAGGCAGCAGUGGGGAAUUUUGGACAAUGGGGGCAACCCUGAUCCAGCCAUGCCGCGUGAGUGAAGAAGGCCUUCGGGUUGUAAAGCUCUUUCGGCCGGGAAGAAAUCGCAUGGGCCAAUACCCUGUGUGGGUGACGGUACCGGAAUAAGAAGCACCGGCUAACUACGUGCCAGCAGCCGCGGUAAUACGUAGGGUGCGAGCGUUAAUCGGAAUUACUGGGCGUAAAGCGUGCGCAGGCGGUUUUGUAAGACAGGCGUGAAAUCCCCGGGCUUAACCUGGGAACUGCGUUUGUGACUGCAAGGCUAGAGUACGGCAGAGGGGGGUGGAAUUCCACGUGUAGCAGUGAAAUGCGUAGAGAUGUGGAGGAACACCAAUGGCGAAGGCAGCCCCCUGGGUCGAUACUGACGCUCAUGCACGAAAGCGUGGGUAGCAAACAGGAUUAGAUACCCUGGUAGUCCACGCCCUAAACUAUGUCAACUAGGUGUUGGGUGGGUAAAACCAUUUAGUACCGUAGCUAACGCGUGAAGUUGACCGCCUGGGGAGUACGGCCGCAAGGUUAAAACUCAAAGGAAUUGACGGGGACCCGCACAAGCGGUGGAUGAUGUGGAUUAAUUCGAUGCAACGCGAAAAACCUUACCUACCCUUGACAUGCCAGGAACUUGCCAGAGAUGGCUUGGUGCCCGAAAGGGAGCCUGGUCACAGGUGCUGCAUGGCUGUCGUCAGCUCGUGUCGUGAGAUGUUGGGUUAAGUCCCGCAACGAGCGCAACCCUUGUCGUUAAUUGCCAUCAUUUAGUUGGGCACUUUAACGAGACUGCCGGUGACAAACCGGAGGAAGGUGGGGAUGACGUCAAGUCCUCAUGGCCCUUAUGGGUAGGGCUUCACACGUCAUACAAUGGUCGGUACAAAGGGUUGCCAAGCCGCGAGGCGGAGCCAAUCCCAGAAAGCCGAUCGUAGUCCGGAUUGCAGGCUGCAACUCGCCUGCAUGAAGUCGGAAUCGCUAGUAAUCGUGGAUCAGCAUGUCACGGUGAAUACGUUCCCGGGUCUUGUACACACCGCCCGUCACACCAUGGGAGCGGGUUCCGCCAGAAGUAGGUAGCCUAACCGCAAGU